GAUCUUGGUUCAGGAUGAACGGCUGGCGGCGUGCCUAACACAUGCAAGUCGAACGGAGUUACGAGAGCUUGCUUUGUAACUUAGUGGCGGACGGGUGAGUAAUGUAUGAGCAACCUGCCUUUCAGAGGGGGACAACAGUUGGAAACGACUGCUAAUACCGCAUAAUGUGCGAGGGGGGCAUCCCCCAUGUACCAAAGGAGCAAUCCGCUGAAAGAUGGGCUCAUAUCUGAUUAGUUAGUUGGCAGGGUAACGGCCUACCAAGACUGCGAUCAGUAGCCGGACUGAGAGGUUGAACGGCCACAUUGGGACUGAGAUACGGCCCAGACUCCUACGGGAGGCAGCAGUGGGGAAUAUUGGGCAAUGGGCGGAAGCCUGACCCAAGCAACGCCGCGUGAAGGAAGAAGGUCUUCGGAUUGUAAACUUCUUUUAUGAGGGACGAAGGACGUGACGGUACCUCAUGAAUAAGCCGCGGCUAACUACGUGCCAGCAGCAGC
RNAcentral lists this ribosomal RNA (494 nucleotides) under uncultured bacterium. RNAcentral's name for it is "bacterial SSU rRNA". It matches the Rfam family "Bacterial small subunit ribosomal RNA", at positions 15 to 518 of the family's 1533-position model. The record is from RNAcentral.